GACAGAGGGUGCAAACGUUGUUCGGAAUUACUGGGCGUAAAGCGCGCGUAGGCGGCUUUGUAAGUUAGAGGUGAAAGCCCGGGGCUCAACCCCGGAACUGCCUUUAAGACUGCAUCGCUUGAAUCCAGGAGAGGUGAGUGGAAUUCCAGGUGUAGCGGUGAAAUGCGUAGAGAUGUGGAGGAACACCGAUGGCGAAGGCAGCCUUCUGGGCCAACACUGACGCUCAUGCACGAAAGCGUGGGGAGCAAACAGG
RNAcentral lists this ribosomal RNA (253 nucleotides) under uncultured bacterium. RNAcentral describes it as "partial 16S ribosomal RNA". It matches the Rfam family "Bacterial small subunit ribosomal RNA", at positions 524 to 776 of the family's 1533-position model. The record is from RNAcentral.